CCUACGGGUGGCAGCAGUGGGGGAUAUUCCACAAUGGGCGCAAGCCUGAUGCAGCGACGCCGCGUGGAGGAUGCAGGUUUUCGGAUUGUAAACUCCUGUCUUCAGGGACGAUAAUUACGGUACCUGAGGAGGAAGCCACUGCUAACUACGUGCCAGCAGCCGCGGUAAUACGUAGUUGGCAAGCGGUGUCCGGAAUUACUGGGUGUAACGGGAGCGUAGGCGGGACAGCAAGUCCAGUGUGAAAUCUAUCGGCUCAACCGAUAGCUGCGCUGGAAACUGUGGUUCUUGAGUGAAGUAGAGGCAAGCGGAAUUCCGAGUGAAGCGGUGAAAUGCGUAGAUAUUAGGAGGAACACCAGUGGCGAAGGCAGCCUGCUGGACUUUUACUGACGCUGAGGCUCGAAAGUGUGGGUAGCAAACAGGAUUAGAUACCCUAGUAGUC
This 439-nucleotide ribosomal RNA is filed under the name uncultured bacterium. RNAcentral's name for it is "partial 16S ribosomal RNA". It matches the Rfam family "Bacterial small subunit ribosomal RNA", at positions 338 to 795 of the family's 1533-position model. The record is from RNAcentral.